GAGAGACCAGAAGUAGUAAGGACUGCUAAUCCAUACCCCCGUGGUUAA
This 48-nucleotide transfer RNA is filed under the name Hoplisoma cf. albolineatum MT148. RNAcentral's name for it is "Corydoras cf. albolineatus MT148 partial tRNA-Ser". Lineage: Eukaryota; Metazoa; Chordata; Actinopteri; Siluriformes; Callichthyidae. The record is from RNAcentral.